RNAcentral lists this transfer RNA (73 nucleotides) under Clydonella sawyeri. RNAcentral's name for it is "tRNA-Asn". It matches the Rfam family "tRNA". From Rfam's summary of the family: Transfer RNA (tRNA) molecules are approximately 80 nucleotides in length. Their secondary structure includes four short double-helical elements and three loops (D, anti-codon, and T loops). The record is from RNAcentral. Lineage: Eukaryota; Discosea; Flabellinia; Vannellidae.
GACACAAUAGCUUAAUUGGUAGAGCUUUUGACUGUUAAUCAAAAGGUUCUAGGUUCGAAUCCUAGUUGUGUCG